CACUCGGAUUAACGGAUCAGAUCAAAUGUUCUGCGGAGCAGACGCCGUGGUCUGCCGAUACCAGCUCCGCGUCCCCUUGAUCUCGCGAAUCUCACCAGCAGAAGCCCCAAUUUGCGGAUCUAUUCCACCCGACGUUGAUGAGCUGGUUAUGCCCGAGAAUUCCUCCGCUCCAGAUCCAGUCCUUUCCAUCUUCCCAUAACCGGUGCCCUACCUCCUCCGCGUAAUCUCAGCGCCAUCACACUACCAUGCCGCCCCCACGCGAGCUCAGCGCCGCCGCAUUCCCGUACCGCGCCCACGCCUGUCAGACGCCGCAGCUCCGCGCUCCCACCGUCACGCGUGCCCCGCGCCCUAGAUGCCCAGGCUAACUCCUAUAAUGGAUCCCGGGGGGUCCUAUCCUCCGGCGCUGAAGGGGACGGCGGCCUGAAGAACGACGAGUCUCAGAGGAGGACGAGCGGCGGGUGUAGCUGGUGCUCAACCGGGAGAGCGUGCACCUAUCGCUGCAGAGGAAGAAGCAGCGCUCGCCGCCACCCUUCACCACGUCCGCCGCCUCCCCCUGGUGCCGCGAGGCGCCUCACCGGCCGGAUCCACUCGAUCUGGGCAUGCCACUACCACAUCCCUCGAGGUAACUGAAGUACUGGACUAUGUGUAAACUGCCUCCACCACGCCCCAGUCUCACGGCGUCAGCUGCGUGAACGCGACCACCGUCGAUCCAUCCAGUUGCGGACGCGCCAGCCUUAACGCCAUCUCCUUCCACAUGCUGGCCUACUACUCGCGUGGACGCUCGCCACGAUCUGGAUGUCGCGCAGCCUCAGCAGCCUGACGCCACCCAUGAAUCAGGCCUAAUUACUUGGCCGUGAAAGGCGACAACGAUCAUGGAAUUAGUGGAUUCUCCUUGAUGAUGCGCUAUGACACAACAAUGUUACACAGUGAAUUGGUACUUUUCGUAGCAACUGGGUGGUGGAUCGAUUGAACUGAUUUGAGAGGAUUGUGCUUUGAUUUUCCGACUUCUUGCAGCUUGAGUACGAGGAAGAGAUGGAUCUGCCUCUGUUGGUGGGAGACAGACAAUGCCUUGUGCUGCUAUUUCCUAAAUAAGAUAUACACAUGUCUUCACACCGCCAUUGCUGUUGCGCCCAUAACGCAAGCUCCGGUGCCGCCGCGAUGUUGGUCCGCGAAGAGGAUGCAAACACUAUAGCUCUGAACUCCAUGCCAGACAUUGCUCUCAUUCUGUUGCUAUUGGUGUGGAGCGCCGAGGACGCAUGUCCCAUGGCCGCCGGUUCUUCCAGUCAGGGGAUGCGAAAUCUGCCACCAUCGUUUCUCUCUGUGCGCCGGUAUGUUUUGUGUGUGAUUUGAAGUUUGGCAACUGGCAUGAGAGAAAAACAUCAGUGGAUAUCUCCCAUCAAUUGCAGACAGUUGGUUUGUUACUUUAGACUGACGACUGAAUCCACGGGUAAUGUUUGCAGCAAUAAAACUGCAACCUUCAUUGUAGGACAAGUUCUACCUGAAUCUCAUGGUUUGUCUUCACAUAAUGUUCUCUUAGUCGGUUUGCAGCAUGCAGCAAGGUGAGCAACAAAUCAUCAUCGUGAGAUUUCUUUUCUAAGUGCUGAAGAAAGCUACUAAGCAAGUUCAUGCAUGUACAAACAUUUCUAAUUGCUGCUUUUAGAGAAGCCCCAGUUGUAGGUCAUAAAUUGCUUGGAAAAAUGCAACAUCGAUGCUAGAAUCCUGACGAGACUAUGACCGGUGAUGCAGAUUAUUUUGUAUGCUGAUGGUGCCGUGGCGGCUGCAUGCCGGAGGGCUGCAUACUUGACUUCUACAUCGCCAUCUUCAACAAGGAGAAGAUCUCCCUCGCUGGCCACGACGAGGUCCGCGCCUGCACUCCCAUUCCCAUUCUUUCUCCCCCUCCAGGAAUUGGGGUUUCUAUUGCUUUUUUUUUUGUUUGGUGUGUGCCUCUGGAGUAUACGGUGGCGGGCGGGCGGAACUUCUUGCCACUGCUCCCAGAGGCGUCAAAGUCGUCAAGCCCUCUGUAGUGAUCGGACGGGACUACCAGGUUCAGUCCCAUCUUGGCUUUACUAUGUCUCUAUACUUCUAUUCUACUGAAUAUUGUUCUUGGAGCUUCAAAGGCAAUUGCUUUACUGGUGAACAUGUAGGAGGAUUUGUGGUUUAGCGUUAUUAGACCUCUGUAAAUGCAUGUCUAGGAGGAUUCUUCGAGCUGUACUGUAUUAUGUAAGUCCAUCAAAGCUAUUUGCUUUAUUGGUGAACAUGUAUAGGAGGAUUCAUUAUUAGACCUCUGUACAUACAUGUUUGCUCUGUGCUAUAAAAAGACUCUCCUUUGGUGGUGAGCAUAAAAAGGAAGAAAUUUACUACUCGCAAUAAAAUUUAAUUGGGUGAACUAUAGAAGCUGACUUUGUUAGAGAAAGGUUCAGAACCCACCCAUUCUUUCUUGCAGGAUUGAGAAGAUUGUGACUUUGAAACCUUUUAGAGACUUUGUUAGAGGAAGGUUCAGAACCCACCCUUUCUUUCUUGCAGGAUUGAGAAGAUUGUGAUUUUGAAACCUUUUAGAUGUACAGAAAGAAAGCAGAUUGUGCUUGUACAUAAUGAUGGUCAGAAGGUCAAAUAUAUGGUAUGGGAAGUGGUUUCACUGAUUGUACUUGUACAGCAAGAGAGCAGAUUGUGUUUCCUUUCAGAAGAUAACUUUUGCCGGCCAUUGUGUUGCUUGCAAGCAGAAUACUUAUUGUUUUAGUUAUGUAAAUAAAGGGAAACUGCACCACAGUCAUCAUGCAAUUUGAUACAGCCUGUGAUAUAUCUUGCAUGUUUGAAUGUUUGAAACCAUUAUAUUGUAUGAAUACCUCUGCAGGUCAUUAGGUAGAGUUGGAGUCGGUUGUGUCGUACAUCUCUGGCCAACUUGUAGUUUGACUAAGGAAUUGUUGUAUUAAUGUGUUUUUUGUUAAUUCUGUAUGGUUGUUCUGUUGA
Molecule: long non-coding RNA, 2967 nt
Organism: Triticum aestivum (bread wheat)
Lineage: Eukaryota; Viridiplantae; Streptophyta; Magnoliopsida; Poales; Poaceae
Exons: 4
Source: RefSeq, a predicted model, not a curated record